This 692-nucleotide long non-coding RNA is filed under the name Equus caballus (horse). RNAcentral describes it as "lncRNA (ENSECAG00000032028.2)". The record is from RNAcentral. Lineage: Eukaryota; Metazoa; Chordata; Mammalia; Perissodactyla; Equidae.
GGCUGCUUGGUGGUGAGGAGGCUGGAGUUGGCCUCGGGGUGAAGCAGAGAGACCAGCUAAGAGGGCGCUGCCCAGUAAUCCUGGUGACAGAUGGUGGGCCCUGUGGGUGAAGUCUGUGUGCGCUUCUUGUCCUGCAGAGGGAACAAGCAGGACGAGGAGGAGAACCAGGUGUCAGCGUGAAGAAAAUGAGAGCGCUGGGGAGAACGAAGGCAGGCUGUUUCCUUCAGGUCCACUGGACAACGGACAGUGAUUGUGGCCUCAAGAUCCAAUCACUCAGAGAGAGGUGCGAGGGAACUCAGCUCCAGGUUUUUCUUGGUUGUGCUCUCUUCCUGAAGCCCUCUGUGGUGUCAGCCAGUCAUGGAUAAACGAGACUCUGAAGUGAAGCCCAGCACCCCGACACUGCGCAUCAGGAGGAAGGCAGAUGAAUACCUAAAACCCACCCUGGUCUACAAAAACGUGCUGAGCUUUUUACUCGGUAGGCAGCUAGGGGGGCACAAAAACGAUGUGCAUCUGUCACGGUGGCUGUGGAUGUUGACACAAACCACACCAGAGUGGAGCUGGCCUUUGCCAAAAAGUCCUGUGGGUAACCCACCUGUUCUCCUUGGGGAUUAUGAAAAAUCCCAGAAAAUGAUGUGGAUCAACAAAUCCUUCCCCUGAUAGAAGCAUUAAAAUUGAAGCUAUGUUUUCACGUC